This 452-nucleotide ribosomal RNA is filed under the name uncultured bacterium. RNAcentral describes it as "bacterial SSU rRNA". It matches the Rfam family "Bacterial small subunit ribosomal RNA", at positions 47 to 507 of the family's 1533-position model. The record is from RNAcentral.
CUUAACACAUGCAAGUCGAACGAUCGCAAGAUAGGUGGCGAACGGUGAGUAAUACAUCGGAACGUGCCCAGUCGGUGGGGGAUAACGUAGACGAAAGCUACGCUAAUACCGCAUACGAUCUCUGGAUGAAAGGCGGGGGACCGCGAGGCCUCGCGCGAUUGGAGCGGCCGAUGGCAGAUUAGGUAGUUGGUGGGGUAAAGGCUCACCAAGGCGACGAUCAGUAGCGGGUCUGAGAGGAUGAUCCGCCACACUGGGACUGAGACACGGCCCAGACUCCUACGGGAGGCAGCAGUGGGGAAUUUUGGACAAUGGGCGAAAGCCUGAUCCAGCCAUGCCGCGUGUCUGAAGAAGGCCUUCGGGUUGUAAAGGACUUUUGUCAGGGAGCAAAACUUACUGGUUAAUACCCGGUGAGGCUGAGAGUACCUGAAGAAUAAGCACCGGCUAACUACGUG